AUCAGAUACCGCCCUAGUUCUGACCGUAAACGAUGCCAACUAGCGAUCCGCCAGUCGACUCAUCGCUCUGGUGGGGAGCUUCCCGGAAACGAAAGUCUUCCGGUUCCGGGGGAAGUAUGGUUGCAAAGCUGAAACUUAAAGGAAUUGACGGAAGGGCACCACCAGGAGUGGAGCCUGCGGCUUAAUUUGACUCAACACGGGGAAACUCACCCGGCCCGGACACCGUAAGGAUUGACAGAUUGAUAGCUUUUUCAUGAUUCGGUGGAUGGUGGUGCAUGGCCGUUCUUAGUUCGUGGAGCGAUUUGUCUGGUUUAUUCCGAUAACGAGCGAGACUCUGGCCUACUAAAUAGUUGACGCAUUGCCACUGUGCGCACAACUUCUUAGAGGGAUUUUCGGUGUUUUCAACCGCACGAAAUUGAGCAAUAACAGGUCUGUGAUGCCCUUAGAUGUCCGGGGCUGCACGCGCGCUACACUGGCAAACGCAACGUGCCUGUCCUGCCCCGAAAGGAGCGGGUAAACCCCUGAAAUUUUGCCGUGAUUGGGAUCGGACAUUGCAACUAUUGUCCGUGAACGAGGAAUUCCUUGUAGGGGCGAGUCAUCAACUCGUCCCGAAUACGUCCCUG
RNAcentral lists this ribosomal RNA (623 nucleotides) under Rotylenchulus reniformis. RNAcentral describes it as "SSU rRNA". It matches the Rfam family "Eukaryotic small subunit ribosomal RNA", at positions 1007 to 1655 of the family's 1831-position model. The record is from RNAcentral. Lineage: Eukaryota; Metazoa; Nematoda; Chromadorea; Rhabditida; Hoplolaimidae.